CCCGACCCCGCUAUGGGCCCCGGGCCUGUGUGGCUGGUGGCCGUUUGUGUCCUGGGAGCAGGCCCCGUGGACACAGAAGUCACCCAGACCCCCAGAUACUUGCUGGCCCGGACUGGGGAGAAAGUCACGGUGAACUGCCAACCGCACGAGAACCAUGAGACCAUGUACUGGUACCGGCAGGACCCGGGUCUGGGGCUGCGGCUGAUCCAUUACUCCCAGACAAAAGGCCAUACCCAGGAGGGAGACAUCCCUCAGGGGUAUUCCGUCUCUAGGGAGGUGAAGGAGUUCUUCCCCCUGACGCUGGGGCCUGCGGACACGAAGCAGUCUUCGCUGUAUUUCUGCGCGAGCAGUGUAACCACAGCGCUGCAGUGGCCCCUCCGCCCUGUGCACGAACCUCCCCCGGCCCGGGGCAGGAAACCCAGGGUGGGCUAAAGGCCCACAGACCUGCCUUAGCCUCCGACUCGCUGGAGAUCCGGGCCAGGUCCUGAAUCAUGGUGUCGAG
This is a non-coding RNA of Tachyglossus aculeatus (Australian echidna), 502 nucleotides long. The record is from the annotation of a RefSeq genome assembly. Lineage: Eukaryota; Metazoa; Chordata; Mammalia; Monotremata; Tachyglossidae.